RNAcentral lists this microRNA precursor (103 nucleotides) under Marmota monax (woodchuck). The record is from RNAcentral. Lineage: Eukaryota; Metazoa; Chordata; Mammalia; Rodentia; Sciuridae.
UCUCUCUCUCUCUCUCUGUCUCUCUCUCUCUCUCUCUGUCUGUGUGUGUGUGUGUGUGUGUGUGAGAGAGAGAGAGAGAGAGAGAGAGAGAGAGAGAGAGAGA